RNAcentral lists this small nuclear RNA (165 nucleotides) under Catagonus wagneri (Chacoan peccary). RNAcentral's name for it is "U2 spliceosomal RNA (ENSCWAG00000011850.1)". Lineage: Eukaryota; Metazoa; Chordata; Mammalia; Artiodactyla; Tayassuidae. The record is from Rfam by way of RNAcentral.
AUUGCUUCUCGGCCUUUUGGCUAAGAUCAAGUGAAGUAUAGUAAAUUUGCAAUGUUGCCAUAAUUUCUGAUGUACAACAAAGCGAUUCAGUUAUAAAUCUAUACACAUUCAUUCUCUUUGAGAUUAUAUUCCCACAAAGAUUACUGGGUAGAGUUAUCUCUGCUA